Molecule: ribosomal RNA, 450 nt
Filed under: uncultured bacterium
Lineage: Bacteria
Description: partial 16S ribosomal RNA
Rfam family: Bacterial small subunit ribosomal RNA
Source: RNAcentral
GUGGGGAAUUUUGGACAAUGGGCGCAAGCCUGAUCCAGCAAUGCCGCGUGCAGGAAGAAGGCCUUCGGGUUGUAAACUGCUUUUGUACGGAACGAAACGGUCCUGGCUAAUACCCGGGGCUAAUGACGGUACCGUAAGAAUAAGCACCGGCUAACUACGUGCCAGCAGCCGCGGUAAUACGUAGGGUGCGAGCGUUAAUCGGAAUUACUGGGCGUAAAGCGUGCGCAGGCGGUGCUGUAAGACAGGCGUGAAAUCCCCGGGCUCAACCUGGGAAUUGCGGUUGUGACUGCAGUGCUGGAGUGCGGAAGAGGGGGAUGGAAUUCCGCGUGUAGCAGUGAAAUGCGUAGAUAUGCGGAGGAACACCGAUGGCGAAGGCAAUCCCCUGGGCCUGCACUGACGCUCAUGCACGAAAGCGUGGGGAGCAAACAGGAUUAGAUACCCCAGUAGUCC